Molecule: RNase P RNA, 602 nt
Filed under: Candidatus Omnitrophota bacterium
Lineage: Bacteria; Pseudomonadati; Candidatus Omnitrophota
Description: Candidatus Omnitrophica bacterium RNase P RNA component class A
Rfam family: Bacterial RNase P class A
About the family: Ribonuclease P (RNase P) is a ubiquitous endoribonuclease, found in archaea, bacteria and eukarya as well as chloroplasts and mitochondria. Its best characterised activity is the generation of mature 5'-ends of tRNAs by cleaving the 5'-leader elements of precursor-tRNAs.
Source: RNAcentral
GGCGCAGGCUGAAUGGUCGCGUUGGUUCAUAGGCCUAUUGCCAGAGAUCCUUCGGCGUUUCGCGCCUCAGGAUCAUCGGCAUAAGUUUAGGUACUAGGGCCGAUGAGGAAAGUCCGGGCUCCACAGGGCAGCGUAGCGGGUAAUACCCGUCCCCCUCGUCGCUUAAUCGCAAGAUGAAAGCGACUCGGGGCGGAUUAGAGCCACAGAGACGAGUCAAAUUUUGUGGAGCAAAAUUUGCUCCUGAAGAGGUAACGGAUAUAAGCCUCUGAAGGAUCUUGAGGUAUUUCGACAGCUAAGAUGCUUGCACUUGCUCGCAUCUUGUAACGCUGUCUCAAUACCAAAUUUGCUUCGCAAAUUUGGGUGAAACGCGGCAAUCUCUACGUGGAGCAAAACCAAAUAGGCCUCGCUGAUAAGAAUGGCCCGUUCGAAGAAUGUGAGGCGGGUAGGUUGCGUGAUCCUCGCAGCAAUGCCAGGACCAGAUAGAUGACCGUUGCGGUCAGCGCGAAGGCAUAUCCCUCAGAUGCUCCUGUUUGUCGCAUCUUCGGGAUCAAUCAGCGCUUCGCGCUGAUUGACAGAACCCGGCUUACAGGCCUGCGCCUUAU